CCUGGUAGUUCAGACGGUAAAGCCUCUGCCUACAAUGCAGGAGACCUGGGUUCAAUCCCUAGGCCAGGA
Molecule: transfer RNA, 69 nt
Filed under: Bos taurus (domestic cattle)
Lineage: Eukaryota; Metazoa; Chordata; Mammalia; Artiodactyla; Bovidae
Also listed under: 4 other names
Rfam family: tRNA
About the family: Transfer RNA (tRNA) molecules are approximately 80 nucleotides in length. Their secondary structure includes four short double-helical elements and three loops (D, anti-codon, and T loops).
Source: Rfam by way of RNAcentral